CCUACGGGAGGCUGCAGUGGGGAAUAUUGCACAAUGGGCGCAAGCCUGAUGCAGCCAUGCCGCGUGUGUGAAGAAGGCCUUCGGGUUGUAAAGCACUUUCAGCGGGGAGGAAGGCGGUGAGGUUAAUAACCUCAUCGAUUGACGUUACCCGCAGAAGAAGCACCGGCUAACUCCGUGCCAGCAGCCGCGGUAAUACGGAGGGUGCAAGCGUUAAUCGGAAUUACUGGGCGUAAAGCGCACGCAGGCGGUCUGUCAAGUCGGAUGUGAAAUCCCCGGGCUCAACCUGGGAAUUGCAUUCGAAACUGGCAGGCUAGAGUCUUGUAGAGGGGGGUAGAAUUCCAGGUGUAGCGGUGAAAUGCGUAGAGAUCUGGAGGAAUACCGGUGGCGAAGGCGGCCCCCUGGACAAAGACUGACGCUCAGGUGCGAAAGCGUGGGGAGCAAACAGGAUUAGAUACCCCGGUAGUC
RNAcentral lists this ribosomal RNA (465 nucleotides) under uncultured Klebsiella sp. Its description in RNAcentral is "bacterial SSU rRNA". It matches the Rfam family "Bacterial small subunit ribosomal RNA", at positions 338 to 795 of the family's 1533-position model. The record is from RNAcentral. Lineage: Bacteria; Pseudomonadati; Pseudomonadota; Gammaproteobacteria; Enterobacterales; Enterobacteriaceae.